This is a non-coding RNA of Cricetulus griseus (Chinese hamster), 512 nucleotides long. NCBI's taxonomy places the organism in Eukaryota, Metazoa, Chordata, Mammalia, Rodentia, Cricetidae. The record is from RefSeq and is a predicted model, not a curated record.
GGCCUCCCCGACGCCGCCGCCGAGAGCGGGUCAAAGGUCGUGCUACGCCUCCCCCGCGUCUCCAAGGCUACGCCGAGCUGCACUUCCGCUUCCUCCUCAGGAAGGACGUUCCCUGAGCGCAAGUCCUCUGGCCCCGCCCGUAGCGCGACGAACCUCGGAGCAGUUCCCUGGGCGGAGUAAAGGGAUUAAGCUCACAUAGUGACCCAGGGGACAGACUCCUCAAGGCUAUUCACAGCUGCACAGGAUACAGCUUGGCUUCAGAGCCCUCAAGUCUGACCUGAGAAGACAGAAGAUAAUUGCACAGUUCACACACAGGUGGUGUGGAGAUGCCCAGGUUAUCUGCCUGGUCACUGUAGAGCCUUGCUGUUGCUGGAGAUGACAUGCAGGGCCAGAGCAUGGUCACCAGACUAAGAAAUCUGCCCUCCCUGAUAUCAACCCUGGACACCCACAGCUGACAGGAAGGACCCAGGCUCUGUCCCUGCCACUGCCUCUUAAAAAUAUUCAGAAUGUGA